RNAcentral lists this transfer RNA (69 nucleotides) under Anaka burmensis. RNAcentral describes it as "tRNA-Arg". The record is from RNAcentral. Lineage: Eukaryota; Metazoa; Arthropoda; Insecta; Hemiptera; Cicadellidae.
AAUAAAGAAGUAAAAUUAUUACACUUAGUUUCGACCUAAGUUUAGGAUAUAAUAUUUAUCCCAUUAUUA